Molecule: transfer RNA, 73 nt
Organism: Ipomoea nil (Japanese morning glory)
Lineage: Eukaryota; Viridiplantae; Streptophyta; Magnoliopsida; Solanales; Convolvulaceae
Rfam family: tRNA
About the family: Transfer RNA (tRNA) molecules are approximately 80 nucleotides in length. Their secondary structure includes four short double-helical elements and three loops (D, anti-codon, and T loops).
Source: Rfam
GCGGGGAUAGCUCAGUUGGGAGAGCAUCAAACUGAAGAUCUAAAGGUCACGUGUUCGAUCCACGUUCACCGCA